AAAAAGACAAAUUCUAGUUUUCGUGUCCAAUGUUUAACCGUCCGUCUUAUUUAAAAAAAUUAUAAAAAAAAUUAAAAAGAUAAGUCACGCAUAAAGUAUUAAUGAUGUUUUAUCAUAUAACAACAAUAAAAAUACUAAUUAUAAAAAAUUUUCAUAUAAGACGGACAAUCAAACAUUGACACGAAAACCCACGGUUUGUCUUUUU
Oryza sativa Indica Group (long-grained rice) is the source of this 205-nucleotide microRNA precursor. It matches the Rfam family "MIR812 microRNA precursor family". The record is from Rfam. Lineage: Eukaryota; Viridiplantae; Streptophyta; Magnoliopsida; Poales; Poaceae.